Molecule: ribosomal RNA, 256 nt
Filed under: uncultured bacterium
Lineage: Bacteria
Description: partial 16S ribosomal RNA
Rfam family: Bacterial small subunit ribosomal RNA
Source: RNAcentral
UACGUAGGGGGCAAGCGUUGUCCGGAUUUAUUGGGCGUAAAGAGCGUGUAGGCGGCCAGAUAGGUCUGUUGUGAAACUCGAGGCUCAACCUCGAGACGCCGAUGGAAACCAUUUGGCUAGAGUCCGGAAGAGGAGAGUGGAAUUCCCGGUGUAGCGGUGAAAUGCGCAGAUAUCGGGAAAGAACACCCGUGGCGAAGGCGGCUCUCUGGGACGGUACUGACGCUGAGACGGCGGAAAAGCGUGGGGAGCGAACAGG